Paramisgurnus dabryanus is the source of this 554-nucleotide non-coding RNA. The record is from RefSeq and is a predicted model, not a curated record. NCBI's taxonomy places the organism in Eukaryota, Metazoa, Chordata, Actinopteri, Cypriniformes, Cobitidae.
CAUCAUCAGUGGAUGCCUUUGCUGUCCGUAGCCUGAGAUUUCAGAUUUGCAGCAAAAAAAUUUUGAUUUUCUCAUUUAUUGGAAUGCUGUGCAGGUAUUUGUACCUUGCAGCCAUCCAUUACAAUGUCACCAAGCCGUAACAAAAGCAGGAGAGGGAAAGUACAAGGCUAUGUUCCCAAAACACACAAGUGACAUACCUUAUGUGGAGGAUGUGAUCAGGCUUGUGUUUGAUGAGGUAUUUGAAGAUAAGCUGAAGGAAGCCCUGAUUCCAAUGGACCUGGCAUCACAGUUUGAGAGACCUUCAAAGGAGGACGUGAUUGCAUGCCAUCUUCAGUGCAGGGGUCGUCGAAAGCCAAAAUUGUGACCGAUCUGAUCAGGAAGCUCCAAGCGUAUCUGGAGAACAACACACGACAGGAUGAUAACCUUAUAGUGUCGUCUUAAAUAGCACCAGCUGACAAAGCUUUGAUAUGCCAUUUAUCUGAAUAGAUAGCUGUAAGAAAUGAAUUGAACAAUUUUUGAAACAAGAGCACAAUAUGGUUACUAAAGUAUGUUUA